RNAcentral lists this ribosomal RNA (253 nucleotides) under uncultured bacterium. RNAcentral describes it as "partial 16S ribosomal RNA". It matches the Rfam family "Bacterial small subunit ribosomal RNA", at positions 524 to 776 of the family's 1533-position model. The record is from RNAcentral.
UACGAAGGGGGCUAGCGUUGUUCGGAAUUACUGGGCGUAAAGCGCACGUAGGCGGACUGAUAAGUCAGGGGUGAAAUCCCGGGGCUCAACCCCGGAACUGCCUUUGAUACUGUCAGUCUAGAGUUCGAGAGAGGUGAGUGGAAUUCCGAGUGUAGAGGUGAAAUUCGUAGAUAUUCGGAGGAACACCAGUGGCGAAGGCGGCUCACUGGCUCGGUACUGACGCUGAGGUGCGAAAGCGUGGGGAGCAAACAGG